UGCAGCGUUACUCGAUCCACUGCGUAAAGCGCAUGUAGCGGUUCGAGUCGAUGGGAGCAUGGGCUACCGGCAUGCAGUCGAUCUGUAGAUCUGAUGUUCGAGAGAUGCAGAUCUGUGUAGAAGUGGAAAUUCGUAGAUAUCAGAGAUACCCGUGCGAGGCGGCUGUCUGCGAAACAUUGACGCUGAGGUGCGAAAGCGCGGGGAUCAAACAGGAUUAGAUACCCUGGUAGUCCGCGCCGUAAACGAUGGAUACUCGAUGUUCGGAGAGUUAACCCUCUGAGUAUCAAAGCUCACGCAUUAAGUAUCCCGCCUGGGGAGUACGGCCGCAAGGUUGAAACUCAAAGGAAUUGACGGGGGCCCGCACAAGCGGUGGAGUAUGUGGUUUAAUUCGAAGCAACGCGCAGAACCUUACCUGGGUUUGACAUCCCGCGAAUACAGUAGAGAUAUUGUCGGCCCUUCGGGGACGCGGAGACAGGUGCUGCAUGGCUGUCGUCAGCUCGUGUCGUAAGAUGUUCGGUUAAGUCCGGCAACGAGCGCAACCCUUGUCUUUAGUUGCUACAUUAAGUUGAGCACUCUAGAGAGACUGCCGGUGUUAAACCGGAGGAAGGCGGGGAUGACGUCAAGUCCUCAUGGCCCUUACGUCCAGGGCUACACACGUACUACAAUGGUGGAGACAAACCGACCCGAAGCAGCGAUGUGAAGGAAAUCGGAAAAACACCACCUCAGUUCGGAUUGGAGUCUGCAACUCGACUCCAUGAAGUUGGAAUCGCUAGUAAUCGCAGAUCAGCACGCUGCGGUGAAUACGUUCCCGGGCCUUGUACACACCGCCCGUCACACCACGAGAGUGGUUAUAACCAGAAGCAGCUUAGCUAACCGCAAGGAGGCAAGCUACCAAGGUUCUAGCCGUGAUUGGGGUGAAGUCGUAACAAGGUAACCAAGGGCGAAUCGCACCUUUCGGAA
Molecule: ribosomal RNA, 960 nt
Filed under: uncultured soil bacterium
Lineage: Bacteria
Description: SSU rRNA
Rfam family: Bacterial small subunit ribosomal RNA
Source: RNAcentral